CAGCGCUGGAAGGAGGGUAGGGUGCCCUCCCUCUGUGCCGAGAGAGGCUGGCGACUCCCGCGGCGGUAGCGUUGCUGCGUUCGCAGAACACGUUCCGAUCCACAGACAGGCGUGUUCGAGAAGUGUCAAGAGAGCCGCGGAGCUGGCGGCCAGUGCACCUAGCGUUGGACCUGAAAUACACUGUUAUGGGAGGUCUGCCGGAACCCAGCGUCCUUUGCGGGAUUAGUCGAGAAGGUGUAAUACCCAAACCAUGCCAAAGCUAACCUCAGGACUGGGUGCCGUGACUAACGACCCCCUGCGCGGUGCCUGCCAAUCAGUGGAGACCAUGACCUUGAAAGGGCACCUCUGGAAAGCUUAUGAGAAGUCUAUUGUAUCCUCCCAAACCUCUCCUAAAAUCCCCGCUUAAUAAAACAUAAAAAUUCAUAGGACAA
Molecule: long non-coding RNA, 431 nt
Organism: Phyllostomus hastatus (greater spear-nosed bat)
Lineage: Eukaryota; Metazoa; Chordata; Mammalia; Chiroptera; Phyllostomidae
Exons: 2
Source: RefSeq, a predicted model, not a curated record